This 61-nucleotide transfer RNA is filed under the name Tenuidactylus fedtschenkoi. Its description in RNAcentral is "tRNA-Trp". The record is from RNAcentral. Lineage: Eukaryota; Metazoa; Chordata; Lepidosauria; Squamata; Gekkonidae.
AAAUUUAGGUUAACUACAAACCAAGAGCCUUCAAAGUUCUAAAUAUGAGUACAACCCUCAU